GUCAUGCCUUAGUAGCGGCGAGUGAAGCGGCAAAAGCUCAAAUUUGAAAUCUGGCGCCUUCGGUGUCCGAGUUGUAAUUUGAAGAUUGUAACCUUGGGGUUGGCUCUUGUCUAUGUUUCUUGGAACAGGACGUCACAGAGGGUGAGAAUCCCGUGCGAUGAGAUGCCCAAUUCUAUGUAAGGUGCUUUCGAAGAGUCGAGUUGUUUGGGAAUGCAGCUCUAAGUGGGUGGUAAAUUCCAUCUAAAGCUAAAUAUUGGCGAGAGACCGAUAGCGAACAAGUACAGUGAUGGAAAGAUGAAAAGAACUUUGAAAAGAGAGUGAAAAAGUACGUGAAAUUGUUGAAAGGGAAGGGUUUGAGAUCAGACUCGAUAUUUUGUGAGCCUUGCCUUCGUGGCGGGGUGACCCGCAGCUUAUCGGGCCAGCAUCGGUUUGGGCGGUAGGAUAAUGGCGUAGGAAUGUGACUUUACUUCGGUGAAGUGUUAUAGCCUGCGUUGAUGCUGCCUGCCUAGACCGAGGACUGCGAUUUUAUCAAGGAUGCUGGCAUAAUGAUCCCAAACCGCCCGU
Molecule: ribosomal RNA, 564 nt
Filed under: Meyerozyma guilliermondii
Lineage: Eukaryota; Fungi; Ascomycota; Pichiomycetes; Serinales; Debaryomycetaceae
Description: partial large subunit ribosomal RNA
Rfam family: Eukaryotic large subunit ribosomal RNA
Source: RNAcentral